Molecule: small RNA, 327 nt
Filed under: Arabidopsis thaliana (thale cress)
Lineage: Eukaryota; Viridiplantae; Streptophyta; Magnoliopsida; Brassicales; Brassicaceae
Description: ATSL265440
Source: RNAcentral
UUUUUCAGUUUUCGUUUCAUCCUUUAUCAUUUCUGUUAUCAUGUUAUCAUUUGUUGCAUUGCUAUUGUUUUUGAUUAUGUAUGGGUAGUGAACUGUAUUUCUGAGGAUGGGAUAGAGUAGUUGUAGUGUCCUGGGUCGCUUUAGUUAGUUGAGUUUAGAAUAUUAGAGUCCCUUCUGGAUUAGUUGCACUUAUUGCUUGUUCCUUUUUGAUCAACUAAAAAAUGAAUCAGACAUUUCCGCGCUCAAAAAGCUUUUGAUGGAAUGUCGGAUCUAUUAAUUCCAGCGAUAUUAAUCUCUAUCCCAAGGGAUUGGCCGUUUAGAACGGGU